Molecule: ribosomal RNA, 877 nt
Filed under: Septoriella neoarundinis
Lineage: Eukaryota; Fungi; Ascomycota; Dothideomycetes; Pleosporales; Phaeosphaeriaceae
Description: eukaryotic LSU rRNA
Rfam family: Eukaryotic large subunit ribosomal RNA
Source: RNAcentral
ACAGGGAUUGCCCUAGUAACGGCGAGUGAAGCGGCAACAGCUCAAAUUUGAAAUCUGGCUCUUUUAGGGUCCGAGUUGUAAUUUGCAGAGAGCGCUUUGGCGUUGGCAGCGGUCCAAGUUCUUUGGAACAGGACGUCACAGAGGGUGAGAAUCCCGUACGUGGUCGCUAGCCUUCGCCGUGUAAAGCCUCUUCGACGAGUCGAGUUGUUUGGGAAUGCAGCUCUAAAUGGGAGGUAAAUUUCUUCUAAAGCUAAAUACUGGCCAGAGACCGAUAGCGCACAAGUAGAGUGAUCGAAAGAUGAAAAGCACUUUGGAAAGAGAGUCAAAUAGCACGUGAAAUUGUUGAAAGGGAAGCGCUUGCAGCCAGACUUGCCUGUAGUUGCUUAUCCGGACUUUUGUCCGGUGCACUCUUCUGCGGGCAGGCCAGCAUCAGUUUAGGCGGUUGGAUAAAGGUCUCUAUCACGUACCUCCCUUCGGGGUUGGCCUUAUAGGGGAGACGACAUGCAGCCAGCCUGAACUGAGGUCCGCGCAUCUGCUAGGAUGCUGGCGUAAUGGCUGUAAGCGGCCCGUCUUGAAACACGGACCAAGGAGUCUAACAUCUAUGCGAGUGUUUGGGUGUCAAGCCCAGACGCGUAAUGAAAGUGAACGGAGGUGGGAACCUUUUAGGUGCACCAUCGACCGAUCCUGAUGUCUUCGGAUGGAUUUGAGUAAGAGCAUGGCUGUUGGGACCCGAAAGAUGGUGAACUAUGCUUGAAUAGGGUGAAGCCAGAGGAAACUCUGGUGGAGGCUCGCAGCGGUUCUGACGUGCAAAUCGAUCGUCAAAUUUGGGCAUAGGGGCGAAAGACUAAUCGAACUAUCUAGUAGCUGGUUCCUGCCG